Molecule: ribosomal RNA, 1746 nt
Filed under: Pseudoalteromonas amylolytica
Lineage: Bacteria; Pseudomonadati; Pseudomonadota; Gammaproteobacteria; Alteromonadales; Pseudoalteromonadaceae
Also listed under: 1 other name
Description: bacterial LSU rRNA
Rfam family: Bacterial large subunit ribosomal RNA
Source: RNAcentral
UAUUCGCGGGGUAGGGGAGCGUUCUGUAAGCGGUUGAAGGUGUACCGGGAGGUAUGCUGGACGUAUCAGAAGUGCGAAUGCUGACAUGAGUAACGAUAAGAGGAGUGAAAAACUCCUCCGCCGGAAGACCAAGGGUUCCUAUCCCAUGUUAAUCAGGGUAGGGUAAGUCGACCCCUAAGGCGAGGCUGAAGAGCGUAGUCGAUGGGAAACGGGUUAAUAUUCCCGUACUUGGAAUAAUUGCGAUGGGGGGACGGAGCAGGCUAAGUAAGCAUGGCGUUGGUUGUCCAUGUGAAAGUGUGUAGGCUGAGAACUUAGGAAAAUCCGGGUUCUUAAGGCUGAGACACGAGACGAGCAUCUACGGAUGUGAAGUUACUGAUGCCCUACUUCCAGGAAAAGCCUCUAAGCUUCAGAUUAUUUCGAAUCGUACCCCAAACCGACACAGGUGGUCAGGUAGAGAAUACUAAGGCGCUUGAGAGAACUCGGGUGAAGGAACUAGGCAAAAUUGUACCGUAACUUCGGGAGAAGGUACGCUGACAUUAGGUGAAGAGCUUCGCGCUUGGAGCUGAAGUCAGCCGCAGUGACCAGGUGGCUGGGACUGUUUAUUAAAAACACAGCACUGUGCAAAAUCGUAAGAUGACGUAUACGGUGUGACACCUGCCCGGUGCCGGAAGGUUAAUUGAUGGGGUUAGACUUAGGUCGAAGCUCUUGAUCGAAGCCCCGGUAAACGGCGGCCGUAACUAUAACGGUCCUAAGGUAGCGAAAUUCCUUGUCGGGUAAGUUCCGACCUGCACGAAUGGUGUAACCAUGGCCACGCUGUCUCCACCCGAGACUCAGUGAAAUUGAAAUCGCAGUGAAGAUGCUGUGUACCCGCGGCUAGACGGAAAGACCCCGUGAACCUUUACUACAGCUUGGCACUGAACAUUGACCCUACAUGUGUAGGAUAGGUGGGAGGCUUUGAAGCGCAGACGCUAGUUUGUGUGGAGCCGUCCUUGAAAUACCACCCUUGUAGUGUUGAUGUUCUAACUUAGGCCCCUAAUCGGGGUUGAGGACAGUGCCUGGUGGGUAGUUUGACUGGGGCGGUCUCCUCCCAAAGAGUAACGGAGGAGCACGAAGGUUGGCUAAGUACGGUCGGACAUCGUACGGUUAGUGUAAUGGUAGAAGCCAGCUUAACUGCGAGACAGACACGUCGAGCAGGUACGAAAGUAGGUCAUAGUGAUCCGGUGGUUCUGAAUGGAAGGGCCAUCGCUCAACGGAUAAAAGGUACUCCGGGGAUAACAGGCUGAUACCGCCCAAGAGUUCAUAUCGACGGCGGUGUUUGGCACCUCGAUGUCGGCUCAUCACAUCCUGGGGCUGAAGUCGGUCCCAAGGGUAUGGCUGUUCGCCAUUUAAAGUGGUACGCGAGCUGGGUUUAGAACGUCGUGAGACAGUUCGGUCCCUAUCUGCCGUGGGCGUUUGAGAAUUGAGAGGGGCUGCUCCUAGUACGAGAGGACCGGAGUGGACGAACCGCUGGUGUUCGGGUUGUGAUGCCAAUUGCAUUGCCCGGUAGCUACGUUCGGAAUCGAUAACCGCUGAAAGCAUCUAAGCGGGAAGCGAGCCUCGAGAUGAGUUCUCACUUUAACUUUAAGUUAACUGAAGGGCCGUUGAAGACUACAACGUUGAUAGGCUGGGUGUGGAAGUGUAGUGAUACAUUAAGCUAACCAGUACUAAUUACCCGUGAGGCUUAACCAUACAACGCCAAAGUGGUUU